RNAcentral lists this long non-coding RNA (1631 nucleotides) under Coturnix japonica (Japanese quail). Its description in RNAcentral is "lncRNA (ENSCJPG00005001408.1)". Lineage: Eukaryota; Metazoa; Chordata; Aves; Galliformes; Phasianidae. The record is from RNAcentral.
AUUCCCCUAUAUAUCCCCUAUACACCCCAUUACCCACGUCAUGCAGCUGACGGCAGCCUGUCCGUGGAACCCCCAUAACCCCAUUACCCCCCAUAACCCAUACACCCCAUUUAACCCCAUUUACACCCCAUAACCCCAUAGACCCCAUGACAACCCAAUAACCCCAUAUACCCCAUUUACACCCCAUAAAACCCCAUAUAAUCCCCCUAUCAUCCCCAUCAUAUCCCCAUAUAUCCCCUAUUAUCCCCUAUCCCCAUUACCACGUAUGCGCUGACGGCAGCCUGUUCCGUGGACCCCCAUAACCCCAUACACCCCAUAUAUCCCCUAUAAUCCCCCAUAACCCCAUAUACCCCAUAACCCCAUAUAUCCCUAUAUCCCCAUAUAUCCCCCAUAUAUCCCCAUAUAUCCCCUGUAUACACCCCAUUACCACUAUGCGGCUGGACGGGCAGCCUGUCCUGGACCCCAUAACCCCACGUACCCCCCAUAAAACCCCAUACACCCCAUAACCCCAUACACCCCAUAAACCCCAUAUACCCAUACACCCCAGAACCCCCAUAUACCCCAUACACCCAUAACCCCAUAUAAUCCCCUAUAUCCCCAUAUAUUUCCCCAUAUAUCCCUAGAUUCCCCUGAUCCCCCAUUGACCACGUAUCGCUACUGGCAGCCUGUCCGUGGACCCAACCAUAACCCCAUACACCCAUAACCCCAUACUACCCCAUAACCGCCAUUACACCCCAUAACCCCAUCACCCCAUAACCCCAUACACCCCAUAAACCCCAUAUAUCCCCUGAUAUAUCCCAAUAGUCCCCCAUUACCACGUAUGCGCUGACGGCAGCCUGUCCGUGGACCCUGUCAUCCCGGUGGAUCUGAACUUCUGGAUUCCCGUUUCAUCCCCUCGAGGGCAGCGAAUCCCUGCAGCGGAACCUUGGGACGUGCCCGUCAACAAACUGCAGGAACUUGCAGCGGUCGGCCUGGGUCAAAGGAGCGCAGGGCGCGCCAGAACCACUGGAUCUAUGGGGAAUAAUAUAGGAUAUAUGGGGAUAUAGGUAUGGGAUAUAGGGUAUGGGAUAUAGGUUGGCGAUAUAGGAUAUGGGAUACUAGCGUAUGGGAAUAGGUGUAUAGGUUCGGCCUGCGCAAAGGGAGCGCAGGGCGCGCCAGAACCACUGGAUCUAUGGGGGAAUAUGGAUUAUAGGGAAAUAUAGGGUAUGGGAUAUAGGGUAUGGAUAAUAGGGUUAUGGGUAUAGGGUACUGGGAAUAGGGUAUGGGGUAUGGGAUAUAGGUUUAUGGGAUAUAGGAUAUAGGGUAUGGAUAUAGGAUAUAGGGUAUGGAUUAUAGGAUACUAGGGUAUGGGAAUAUAGGGUAUGGGAUAUAGGCAUAUAGGUCGCCUGGUCAAAGGAGCGCAGGGCGACGCCAGAACACUGGAUCUAUGGGGUAAUAAUAUAGGAUAUAUGGGAUAUAGGUAUGGGAUACUAGGGUAUGGGAUAUAGGUAUGGAUAUAGGGGAUAUGGGGAUAUAGGGUAUGGGAUAUAGGGUAUAGGUCAGCCUGGUCAAAGGAGCCAGGCACGCCAGAACCACGGAUUAUGGGAAAAGACAAAAAAUAAAGGAUAUAUGGGGGAUAUAGGAUAUGGGGA